Molecule: ribosomal RNA, 497 nt
Filed under: uncultured bacterium
Lineage: Bacteria
Description: partial 16S ribosomal RNA
Rfam family: Bacterial small subunit ribosomal RNA
Source: RNAcentral
GAUGAACGCUGGCGGCGUGCCUAAUACAUGCGAGUCGAGCGAACAGACGAGGAGCUUGCUCCUCUGACGUUAGCGGCGGACGGGUGAGUAACACGUGGAUAACCUACCUAUAAGACUGGGAUAACUUCGGGAAACCGGAGCUAAUACCGGAUAAUAUAUUGAACCGCAUGGUUCAAUAGUGAAAGACGGUUUUGCUGUCACUUAUAGAUGGAUCCGCGCCGCAUUAGCUAGUUGGUAAGGUAACGGCUUACCAAGGCAACGAUGCGUAGCCGACCUGAGAGGGUGAUCGGCCACACUGGAACUGAGACACGGUCCAGACUCCUACGGGAGGCAGCAGUAGGGAAUCUUUCGCAAUGGGCGAAGGCCUGACGGAGCAACGCCGCGUGAGUGAUGAAGGUCUUCGGAUCGUAAAACUCUGUUAUUAGGGAAGAACAAAUGUGUAAGUAACUAUGCACGUCUUGACGGUACCUAAUCAGAAAGCCACGGCUAACUACGUG